AACGAACGCUGGCGGCAUGCCUAACACAUGCAAGUCGAACGAAACCUUCGGGCUUAGUGGCGCACGGGGGGGUAACGCGGGGGGACCUGCCUUUGAGUUCGGAAUAACUCAGAGAAAUUUGAGCUAAUACCGGAGGAUGUCUUCCGACCAAAGAUUUAUCGCCUUUAGGUGGGCGCGGGUUGGAUUGGCUAGUUGGUGGGGUAAAGGCCUAUCAAGGGGAGGAUGCAUAGCUGGUCUGAGAGGAUGAUCCGCCACACUGGGCAUGCGACACGGCCCAGAAUCCUACGCGAGGGAGGAGAGGGGAAUACUGGACAAUGGGGGAUGGCAUGAUCCAGCAAUGCCGGGUGAGUGAUGAAGGCCUUAGGGUUGUAAAGUUCUUUUACACGAGACGAUAAUGACGGUAUCGGGAGAAUAAGCACCGGCUAACUCCGUG
This 433-nucleotide ribosomal RNA is filed under the name uncultured bacterium. RNAcentral's name for it is "partial 16S ribosomal RNA". It matches the Rfam family "Bacterial small subunit ribosomal RNA", at positions 29 to 507 of the family's 1533-position model. The record is from RNAcentral.